UACGUAGGUGGCAAGCGUUGUCCGGAAUUACUGGGUGUAAAGGGAGCGCAGGCGGGAAGCCAAGUCAGCUGUGAAAACUACGGGCUUAACUUGUAGACUGCAGUUGAAACUGGUUUUCUUGAGUGAAGUAGAGGUUGGCGGAAUUCCGAGUGUAGCGGUGAAAUGCGUAGAUAUUCGGAAGAACACCAGUGGCGAAGGCGGCUUUCUGGACUGAAACUGACGCUGAGGCACGAAAGCGUGGGGAGCGAACAGG
RNAcentral lists this ribosomal RNA (253 nucleotides) under uncultured bacterium. RNAcentral describes it as "partial 16S ribosomal RNA". It matches the Rfam family "Bacterial small subunit ribosomal RNA", at positions 524 to 776 of the family's 1533-position model. The record is from RNAcentral.